UACCGGUCAUUCUGAUAUUAAUGCUCGCUAUGGGAACACAGGAUGGCCGGGCAGUGAUAGUUGUACAUUUCCAUCACUCGUUGUGUUGAUUUCAUCAUGUCCAUUAGGUGAUGUUUUUACACUAUAGAAUCAUAUUGCAAGUGCGCGCGCAUUUGCAAUAUGUUUCAAUGUGCAUUUACCAUAUGAAAUUUGACAUGCUCAAAAAUGCAAAAUUGACUGGUCUGAUGGACACAGGAUGGCCGAGCAGUGAUAGUUGUACAUUUCCAUCACUCGUUGUGUUGAUUUCAUCAUGUCCAUUAGGUGAUGUUUUUUCACUAUAGAAUCAUAUUGCAAAUGCACGUGCAUUGUUGUGCAACUGGUAACCCAAAAAUAAAAAUAUGCUUGUAAAUGCAU
Molecule: long non-coding RNA, 393 nt
Organism: Oncorhynchus keta (chum salmon)
Lineage: Eukaryota; Metazoa; Chordata; Actinopteri; Salmoniformes; Salmonidae
Exons: 2
Source: RefSeq, a predicted model, not a curated record